This is a small nuclear RNA of Cololabis saira (Pacific saury), 154 nucleotides long. RefSeq annotates it as U12 minor spliceosomal RNA. The transcript has a single exon. NCBI's taxonomy places the organism in Eukaryota, Metazoa, Chordata, Actinopteri, Beloniformes, Belonidae. The record is from RefSeq and is a predicted model, not a curated record.
AUGCCUUAAACUGAUGAGUAAGGAAAAUAACGGUACGGGGUGACGCCCGUAUCCUCGUAACUAUUGCGAGAUGAAUUUUUGAAGGGGCAUAGGUCUGCCUGCUCCGGUGACUCGUCUACUUUACGAGAUGCCCUGCAGGACCAGGACCUUCCCC